UGGGGAAUAUUGCACAAUGGGCGCAAGCCUGAUGCAGCCAUGCCGCGUGUGUGAAGAAGGCCUUCGGGUUGUAAAGCACUUUCAGCGAGGAGGAAGGUGGUGAGCUUAAUACGCUCAUCAAUUGACGUUACUCGCAGAAGAAGCACCGGCUAACUCCGUGCCAGCAGCCGCGGUAAUACGGAGGGUGCAAGCGUUAAUCGGAAUUACUGGGCGUAAAGCGCACGCAGGCGGUUUGUUAAGUCAGAUGUGAAAUCCCCGGCUCAACCUGGGAACUGCAUUUGAACUGGCAAGCUAGAGUCUCGUAGAGGGGGUAGAAUUCCAGGUGGUAGCAGUGCAAAUGCGUAGAGAUCUGGAAGGAAUACCGGUGGCGAAGGCGGCCCCCUGGACGAAGACUGACGCUCAGGUGCGAAAGC
RNAcentral lists this ribosomal RNA (413 nucleotides) under uncultured bacterium. RNAcentral describes it as "partial 16S ribosomal RNA". It matches the Rfam family "Bacterial small subunit ribosomal RNA", at positions 355 to 760 of the family's 1533-position model. The record is from RNAcentral.